Dipodomys ordii (Ord's kangaroo rat) is the source of this 70-nucleotide non-coding RNA. The record is from Rfam. NCBI's taxonomy places the organism in Eukaryota, Metazoa, Chordata, Mammalia, Rodentia, Heteromyidae.
GGGAACGUGGCUCAGUGGUAGAGCACUUACCUUGCAUGCAUGAAGCCCUGGGUUCGAUUCCUCAGCACCA